This 505-nucleotide ribosomal RNA is filed under the name uncultured bacterium. Its description in RNAcentral is "partial 16S ribosomal RNA". It matches the Rfam family "Bacterial small subunit ribosomal RNA", at positions 28 to 507 of the family's 1533-position model. The record is from RNAcentral.
GACGAACGCUGGCGGCGUGCCUAAUACAUGCAAGUAGAACGCACAGUUUAUACCGUAGCUUUCUACACCAUAGACUGUGAGUUGCGAACGGGUGAGUAACACGUAGGUAACCUGCCUGGUAGCGGGGGAUAACUAUUGGACACGAUAGCUAAUACCGCAUAAUAUUGAUUAUUGCAUGAUAAUUAAUUGAAAGGUGCAAUUGCACCCCUACCAGAUGGACCUGCGUUGUAUUAGCUAGUAGGUGAGGUAACGGCUCACCUAGUCGAAGAUACCUAGCCGACCUGAGGGGGGGAGCGGCCGAACCGGGAAUGAGAUACGGCACAGGCCGCUUCGGGAGGGAGCCGUAGGGCAUCUUCGGCGAUGGACGAAAGUCUGACCGAGAAAAGACGGGGGAGUGAAUAAGGCUUUCGGAUUGUAAAGCUCUGUUGUAAGAGAAAGAUGAGAGUGAGAGUGGAAAGUGCACAGUGUGACGGUAACUUAGCAGAAAGGGACGGCUAACUACGUG